AAAAAUAAUAGUUUUGCCGUAGACAGUAGGUGCGUAAAGCUUAAAUAUCCUACCGAGGUUUUAGAUGGAUUGAAUUACUAAAGCUUUGUGUGUCUAUAAAAUGAUACGAAAGCUUUUUUUA
RNAcentral lists this small RNA (121 nucleotides) under human gut metagenome. RNAcentral describes it as "Ribosomal protein L10 leader". It matches the Rfam family "Ribosomal protein L10 leader". Rfam says of the family: This family is a putative r-protein leader autoregulatory structure found in B. subtilis and other low-GC Gram-positive bacteria. It is located in the 5' untranslated regions of mRNAs encoding ribosomal proteins L10 and L12 (rplJ-rplL). A Rho-independent transcription terminator structure that is probably involved in regulation is included at the 3' end. The record is from RNAcentral.